UUGCGCGCCCCCGACUAG
This 18-nucleotide unclassified non-coding RNA is filed under the name Mus musculus (house mouse). RNAcentral's name for it is "oocyte_clustered_small_RNA7686". The record is from RNAcentral. Lineage: Eukaryota; Metazoa; Chordata; Mammalia; Rodentia; Muridae.